GGUGACAGCCCCGUACACAAAAAUGCACAUACUGUGAGCUCGAUGAGUAGGGCGGGACACGUGGUAUCCUGUCUGAAUAUGGGGGGACCAUCCUCCAAGGCUAAAUACUCCUGACUGACCGAUAGUGAACCAGUACCGUGAGGGAAAGGCGAAAAGAACCCCGGCGAGGGGAGUGAAAAAGAACCUGAAACCGUGUACGUACAAGCAGUGGGAGCACGCUUAGGCGUGUGACUGCGUACCUUUUGUAUAAUGGGUCAGCGACUUAUAUUCUGUAGCAAGGUUAACCGAAUAGGGGAGCCGAAGGGAAACCGAGUCUUAACUGGGCGUUAAGUUGCAGGGUAUAGACCCGAAACCCGGUGAUCUAGCCAUGGGCAGGUUGAAGGUUGGGUAACACUAACUGGAGGACCGAACCGACUAAUGUUGAAAAAUUAGCGGAUGACUUGUGGCUGGGGGUGAAAGGCCAAUCAAACCGGGAGAUAGCUGGUUCUCCCCGAAAGCUAUUUAGGUAGCGCCUCGUGAAUUCAUCUCCGGGGGUAGAGCACUGUUUCGGCAAGGGGGUCAUCCCGACUUACCAACCCGAUGCAAACUGCGAAUACCGGAGAAUGUUAUCACGGGAGACACACGGCGGGUGCUAACGUCCGUCGUGAAGAGGGAAACAACCCAGACCGCCAGCUAAGGUCCCAAAGUCAUGGUUAAGUGGGAAACGAUGUGGGAAGGCCCAGACAGCCAGGAUGUUGGCUUAGAAGCAGCCAUCAUUUAAAGAAAGCGUAAUAGCUCACUGGUCGAGUCGGCCUGCGCGGAAGAUGUAACGGGGCUAAACCAUG
RNAcentral lists this ribosomal RNA (824 nucleotides) under Escherichia coli. RNAcentral describes it as "partial 23S ribosomal RNA". It matches the Rfam family "Bacterial large subunit ribosomal RNA", at positions 363 to 1191 of the family's 2925-position model. Lineage: Bacteria; Pseudomonadati; Pseudomonadota; Gammaproteobacteria; Enterobacterales; Enterobacteriaceae. The record is from RNAcentral.